GAUGAACGCUGGCGGCGUGCCUAAUACAUGCAAGUAGAACGCUGAAGGAGGAGCUUGCUCUUUCCGGAUGAGUUGCGAACGGGUUAGUAACGCGUAGGUAACCUGCCUGGUAGCGGGGGAUAACUAUUGGAAACGAUAGCUAAUACCGCAUAACAGUAGAUAUUGCAUGAUAUUUGCUUGAAAGGGGCAAUUGCUCCACUACCAGAUGGACCUGCGUUGUAUUAGCUAGUUGGUGAGGUAACGGCUCACCAAGGCGACGAUACAUAGCCGACCUGAGAGGGUGAUCGGCCACACUGGGACUGAGACACGGCCCAGACUCCUACGGGAGGCAGCAGUAGGGAAUCUUCGGCAAUGGACGGAAGUCUGACCGAGCAACGCCGCGUGAGUGAAGAAGGGUUUCGGAUCGUAAAGCUCUGUUGUAAGAGAAGAACGAGUGUGAGAGUGGAAAGUUCACACUGUGACGGUAGCUAACCAGAAAGGGACGGCUAACUACGUG
This 496-nucleotide ribosomal RNA is filed under the name uncultured bacterium. RNAcentral describes it as "partial 16S ribosomal RNA". It matches the Rfam family "Bacterial small subunit ribosomal RNA", at positions 28 to 507 of the family's 1533-position model. The record is from RNAcentral.